AACCAUCUCAGCACCCCACCACACCCAGCAGGAGAGGACAGGGGAGAUGGGAGGGAGGUGGGAGUGCAGUGGUGGAGGUCCCUGUGCCCAAAUGUCCUCCAUUUCCAUGCCAUUGUGUUAUCACAGGACUGAUGAGACACAGAGUCUUCUCAGGAAAAGCAAAUUAAGCUGCUUUAUGUCCUCUGGAUCUUCAUGUAGUAUGUAAGAGGGUUGCUCUGUGUGUCUGCGUAGCCAUUAAAAGUGAUUUUGAAAAUAAAUGGAGAAACUUAGGAAAAAGAAAGAAGCUCUACCUGUCAGGAAUGAGGUGACAAUAACUGAGAAAAGUGAGGAAAAGUGAAUGAAUAAAGCAAAAGGGACAUAAAAGGAGGAAGUGGGAAGGAGAACAACAAGGGAAGAGAGGAAAAUACAUGGCAGCAGCACUACAGUGAGCAUGGAUCAAGCAAGGGGAUACUGGGAAGGGGCAAGGAAAAAAGACACAGAGAGGAAAAAUCAAGGGGAAAUGGAUUCAGAGGGAGCAAAGGAAAUCACCCCAGAACAUUUCUUUGGAGUACAUGAAGUGCCUGAGAGCCUUCCAGGCUGCUCCUGAGGCUGUUCCAACAGCACCUCCAGCAGGUGUGGUCCCAGCCAGGGGCAGGGAAAGGGACAUCGGGAUCCACCACAGCCCAUUCAGGAGACAGCAAGCUCAGGAUGGUAUGGGAAGGACCCAAGUGCAUGACCAGGAGCAGGACACCUGGAGACAAAAGGGAAAGCAGGGAAGGAAAGCCCAGCACAGUUACCUGAGCCUGAGGAGCUGCCCAGCCCCGGGAGGAGUGGAGUUCUGCUUUUGGCUAAGAGGGCACUGGCUGGGGAUGCUGUCACUCCCCGAGGAGGCUGUGCCUGUGGGGAGUGUGGUCCUGGGCCAGACCAUCCCGUCCCGUCCCAUUCCUGCUGCUCAUCCAGCUGCUGGGAUCUUCCUUGUAAACAAGCUGAUUAUUUGCUUUGGGUUAUUUUCUUCCCUUCUCACUUGCUUCCAGAUCCCCAUUUCUUUCAACAUAACAGGAAGGAUAUCAGACACCUCUCAGAUUUGCAUUUUUUCCCAGUUAGCAGGGUGUUUUUCCUACUUAUUUUUCAUAGAAGGAAUAAGUAAGAACAUUUUCCAAUUGCUUUUUCCUAUUUCUUUUCAUUAGUCACUAUGUCAUUGCCUGUCUAUAGCUGUCCAUUACAGCCUUAUGACUUGUCUCCAGCAGGAUAUAAAUAGUCUCUGUUUACCUGGUUCCUGCUUCUGCUCCUACUUCAAACAUUCCCAGUAGCCUGAGGGAUGUCACCUUUCAUUGUGGGCAUCACACCUGUGUUAAAGGGAUUAAUAAUGAAAGGCCACAUGUAAAAAGUCACUUUUGUAAGAAAAAACAAGUGUUCACUCAAGCUGCAAAGCAUUUUUUUGCAGUUGUUUAAAAGGAUAAAACUUUGUUCAAUGUGGCACCAUUUCCAUCUUUUCUGAUGUCAGGUUAAGAUUAUGUUGAACAGAUAGAACAAGAGGACAAGGUUUUUGUGUUGUGGCUCUUUGAAUCAUGAUACAGCAUUGAAACCCAAAACAGAGCUGAGGGGGCUGAUUUGAAUUAGAGAUUGCAAAGAAUUGUGAGAAAAGGAAAAAAGAUUUUUCAAAGAGUAGUAAUAUAAAUUCCAGUGUAUUUCAGUGCCCCUUCCAAAAUCUUCCUGACUGGAUUCUGGAAUGGUAGAACACUAGUAAAAAGAAAAAUGCACACAUUCUUUUUUUUAAGGCAUGUUUUUCUCUGAGCUAUGGACAGAAAACUUCUUACAUUUACACUCAUGAAGUCCCUGUGAAGUAGGAAAAAAUCCUAUGUAAAGGAAUGCCCCAUUUCAAAUCCAAUCUAAAAAGUGAGAGUAAGGAUACAUCUGUGAAAUUCCAUAAAAAAAAAAAAAAAAAAAAAAA
RNAcentral lists this long non-coding RNA (1930 nucleotides) under Taeniopygia guttata (zebra finch). Its description in RNAcentral is "lncRNA (ENSTGUG00000021910.1)". The record is from RNAcentral. Lineage: Eukaryota; Metazoa; Chordata; Aves; Passeriformes; Estrildidae.